UACGAAGGGGGCUAGCGUUGUUCGGAAUUACUGGGCGUAAAGCGCACGUAGGCGGAUUGUUAAGUCAGAGGUGAAAUCCCGGAGCUCAACUUCGGAACUGCCUUUGAUACCGGCAAUCUCGAGUCCGGAAGAGGUUAGUGGAAUUCCCAGUGUAGAGGUGAAAUUCGUAGAUAUUGGGAAGAACACCAGUGGCGAAGGCGGCUAACUGGUCCGGUACUGACGCUGAGGUGCGAAAGCGUGGGGAGCAAACAGG
RNAcentral lists this ribosomal RNA (253 nucleotides) under uncultured bacterium. RNAcentral describes it as "partial 16S ribosomal RNA". It matches the Rfam family "Bacterial small subunit ribosomal RNA", at positions 524 to 776 of the family's 1533-position model. The record is from RNAcentral.